CAUAAUCACAUGGAAAAAUCAAAUAACAAAACGCAUCAAAAACGAAUGGACAAGAACUGUCAUAUUCCUGACUUGGUACAGGCAUUUUCAAAUGUAGAAAAUGGUGGAUUGAACCUGGUUUUAUAGCUAGCUAAACCUCUCACUUGUAUGACAGUCGCAUCAAAUUCCAUUAUAUAGUCACCGAUGCGUGAACAAAACAAAC
RNAcentral lists this long non-coding RNA (202 nucleotides) under Mytilus galloprovincialis (Mediterranean mussel). Lineage: Eukaryota; Metazoa; Mollusca; Bivalvia; Mytilida; Mytilidae. The record is from RNAcentral.